RNAcentral lists this ribosomal RNA (480 nucleotides) under uncultured bacterium. RNAcentral's name for it is "bacterial SSU rRNA". It matches the Rfam family "Bacterial small subunit ribosomal RNA", at positions 30 to 506 of the family's 1533-position model. The record is from RNAcentral.
UUGAACGCUGGCGGUAUGCUUUACACAUGCAAGUCGAACUGCAGCACGGGGCAACCUGGUGGCGAGUGGCGAACGGGUGAGUAACAUAUCGGAACAUAUCCGGAAGUGGGGGAUAACGUAGCGAAAGUUACGCUAAUACCGCAUAUGCCCUGAGGGGGAAAGUGGGGGAUCGCAAGACCUCACGCUUUCGGAGUGGCCGAUAUCAGAUUAGCUAGUUGGUGGGGUAAAGGCCCACCAAGGCGACGAUCUGUAGCUGGUCUGAGAGGACGACCAGCCACACUGGAACUGAGACACGGUCCAGACUCCUACGGGAGGCAGCAGUGGGGAAUUUUGGACAAUGGGCGCAAGCCUGAUCCAGCCAUACCGCGUGAGUGAAGAAGGCCUUCGGGUUGUAAAGCUCUUUCAGACGGAAAGAAACGGUCACGGCCAAUACCCGUGGCUAAUGACGGUACCGUCAGAAGAAGCACCGGCUAACUACGU